Molecule: transfer RNA, 71 nt
Filed under: Camelus bactrianus (Bactrian camel)
Lineage: Eukaryota; Metazoa; Chordata; Mammalia; Artiodactyla; Camelidae
Also listed under: 2 other names
Rfam family: tRNA
About the family: Transfer RNA (tRNA) molecules are approximately 80 nucleotides in length. Their secondary structure includes four short double-helical elements and three loops (D, anti-codon, and T loops).
Source: Rfam by way of RNAcentral
GAAGAUGUAGUUCAGUGGUAGAAUGUGUGCUUAGCAUGCACGAGGUCCUGGGUUCAACCCCAGUACUUCCG